This 1254-nucleotide long non-coding RNA is filed under the name Equus caballus (horse). RNAcentral's name for it is "lncRNA (ENSECAG00000052550.1)". Lineage: Eukaryota; Metazoa; Chordata; Mammalia; Perissodactyla; Equidae. The record is from RNAcentral.
GCAACUUGUUUGAGUCUGGCCACUUGCUCACCAUCUGGAACUACUUCAUAUUCUUAUUACCAAAAAAAAAAUGAAAGAAAGAAAGAAACGAAAAAGAGAAAAAGGAUGAGUAACGCUGCUGGGUUGCCUUUUCUUUUGUACGUUUUGCUGGGUGCUUAACCCACCCAGGGCUCCCUCCCACCUGGAGGCACCCUACCAGCCACAGUUUAUCUGACACUCCGUUCGACUACAGAACUACUCCCUCGAAAUAUACAGAGAACUACGCUGGAAAUUAGGAGACCUGAGCUGUAUCCCAGCUUCUGGCUCACUUCUGACACAAACCAUUCAACUUCCUUGAGCCCUGGAUUCCCGGAUUGUGAAACUAAGGAGCUGGGUGAUGUGAUUAUCUGCUGCUGUCUAUGGUCAGCUGAAAUUAGUGAGAGGUGGCUGCAUCUCUGCUUUACAUGUCUUCUCAUUCUGGUACCUAGGAUGAAAGAAUUGCCCUUACAUGAAGUGCUACAUUCUCCAGGCAAAGAUGUGAAUAUUUUGGACAUUUCAUGUAAAUGGAAUCAUACAAUAUAUAGGCUUGAGUUUGGACGGAAGUUGGUGUGGCUAUAAAAGGGCACAUGAGGAAUCCUUGUUGUGACGAAAAAGAUUGGUGAUGCUGAUUUGAACUACAAACAAAUUCUGACUAGAAUACUGGACUACAAAUCCCUUUGUGAAGGAAGGAGCCAUAUUAUUAAUUUGUCUGUUCUUCAUAUUUAACUCAUAUACAGAAGUGCUACUCAUGUAUGUCAAAUGAAAGAAGAAAAAAGAAAAGGAAGAAAGGGGGAGAGGAACCAAAAGAAAAAUUAGAAAGUGUAAAGGAUUGAGGAAAAAAGAAAAGAUUCGUAAAACUGAAGUUUUAAUUUGUAGGAUCUUGGAUUGACUUAAUUUCAAAGACUCAGCCUUCAUAGAUAUGCAAUACAAAGUUUAUGCCCAAAGUAAAAGACUGAAGAGAAUAAGUAAGUGUGGGAAAAGGCAUUCCCAGUUGACCUCCCGCUAUGUCAAUGGCAAGUUGAAGACUGUACCUCGGGGCUGGGGGAAACCAGAGUUGAAGAGAAAGCUGAAGACAGUUGAAGAGUGAGCUGCUGGAGCAGGUUAACACCUUGUAAAACAGACCUGAAUAAGAGUAUAUUCAACGUUCAAGAAGAUUCUUUGGGGGCUGGCCCCACGGCCGAGUGGUUGGAGUUCCACACGCUCAGCAGCGCCGGUUAGUGGGUUUGGAUCCUGGGU